AUCCAGCUGACGAAUCCCAAAUAGGAUGAAAAGCGCAUCCUGGAU
Molecule: non-coding RNA, 45 nt
Organism: Schistosoma haematobium
Lineage: Eukaryota; Metazoa; Platyhelminthes; Trematoda; Strigeidida; Schistosomatidae
Source: Rfam